CAGGUGAGCCCCAUUAACUCAUGCACAUGUAAGUCGCAGUUUGGUUUUACUCACGGUUAAGUUGUGGACCCCAAAAAUUUAGAAUACUGCAUAAAAGUCAAUUUUGAUUUGACUGUUUUUGGGAGGGAUUUCAGUGUGAUCUAUCCU
Molecule: long non-coding RNA, 147 nt
Organism: Thalassophryne amazonica
Lineage: Eukaryota; Metazoa; Chordata; Actinopteri; Batrachoidiformes; Batrachoididae
Exons: 3
Source: RefSeq, a predicted model, not a curated record